GACGAACGCUGGCGGCGUGCUUAACACAUGCAAGUCGAACGGAAAGGCCCUGCUUUUGUGGGGUGCUCGAGUGGCGAACGGGUGAGUAACACGUGAGUAACCUGCCCUUGACUUUGGGAUAACUUCAGGAAACUGGGGCUAAUACCGGAUAGGAGCUCCUGCUGCAUGGUGGGGGUUGGAAAGUUUCGGCGGUUGGGGAUGGACUCGCGGCUUAUCAGCUUGUUGGUGGGGUAGUGGCUUACCAAGGCUUUGACGGGUAGCCGGCCUGAGAGGGUGACCGGCCAAAUUGGGACUGAGAUACGGCCCAGACUCCUACGGGAGGCAGCAGGGGGGAAUAUUGCACAAUGGGAGGAAGCCUGAUGCAGCAACGCCGCGUGCGGGAUGACGGCCUUCGGGUUGUAAACCGCUUUCGCCUGUGACGAAGCGUGAGUGACGGUAAUGGGUAAAGAAGCACCGGCUAACUACGUG
Molecule: ribosomal RNA, 468 nt
Filed under: uncultured bacterium
Lineage: Bacteria
Description: partial 16S ribosomal RNA
Rfam family: Bacterial small subunit ribosomal RNA
Source: RNAcentral